This 253-nucleotide ribosomal RNA is filed under the name uncultured bacterium. RNAcentral's name for it is "partial 16S ribosomal RNA". It matches the Rfam family "Bacterial small subunit ribosomal RNA", at positions 524 to 776 of the family's 1533-position model. The record is from RNAcentral.
ACCGUAGGUGGCGAGCGUUAUCCGGAUUUACUGGGCGUAAAGGGUGUGCAGGCGGGCCAUUAAGUGGUGUAUGAAAUAUCCCGGCUCAACCGGGAGAGGUUAUGCCAGACUGGUGGUCUAGAGAGCGAGAGAGGGACGUGGAAUUCCGGGUGUAGUGGUGAAAUGCGUAGAUAUCUGGAGGAACACCGGUGGCGAAGGCGGCAUCCUGGACCGGCAUUGACGCUGAGGCGCGAAAGCUAGGGGAGCAAACGGG